This is a long non-coding RNA of Lepidothrix coronata (blue-crowned manakin), 3244 nucleotides long. RefSeq lists it as uncharacterized. Lineage: Eukaryota; Metazoa; Chordata; Aves; Passeriformes; Pipridae. The transcript has 3 exons. The record is from RefSeq and is a predicted model, not a curated record.
AUCGCGGCCGCUCCGCUGCGCGGCAUCCCCGUGUUCCCCGCUCGGCAUCGCUGCGGCGGGGCUCGCCCCGACCCCUUUAACUUCAUUUUGUGGGUCUGGGAGUUUUAUGACCACACGUACCCUGACACCGUAACACAAGCUCCGUGCUGCACCGCGAGCAGGUAACAGAUCUAAGCGCGGGGACGGGGGUUUAUCUCCCGCUGAAUGGAACUACCGGGACUCCGAGUCAGUCUCCCGGUACAAAUGGCCAAAAGACACUCCAACAAGAGAAGGGACGGAGAGAUAAAAUAGGAAACAUGUUAAAACAGACAGAUAAACGCCCGAGAGGAUCGUUCCUCCUCUGCGAACGCACGCUUGUAUGUGCGCUCACAUGUGAGCCGGUCACCAAGCACGGCCGCGGGGACACAGACCUGGGCACAACUCUGCGAGGGAUUAAUUGCUCCUCACCUCCUCACAUACACUUUUUCAUGUUGCCACAUGCCCACCCACUCCUGCCGCAGAAAUAAUAGAUGUGGCUGAAGCCGCAGGUGUGGAGGUGAUUGGAAAGUUGUAAAAAGCACCUCGACUUGACAGUGUCCUGCCUGGAAACCUGGUGUGUUCAGACCCCACGGACGAAGAUAUUUUGCGGCUCAAUUUCAAAGACAAGGCUGCAGCGUUCCCAUUGAUCCUCACGGAGCAAAAAAAUAACCUUUACCCGAAACAGGGACCAGGAGGGACUAGGAAGACAGAAGGGGGAAAGGAAUCUUUCCCUGUUAAAAUGUGGGGAACUGUCUUAUGAUUUCCAAAUAACCCAGAGCCGAGGAGGUCACCUUUCGGGGAGGGUGGGAGAAGAUGGGGGUUCAAAAUACAGAAUAGUCACAGAUUGUUGCUGAUGUUGAGUUUCCUGAGGGGGGGAAAAAAAAACCCAGCAAAAACCCAAACCACAACCCAACACCAACCUUUCCUGUCUCGAAUCUGACAAAGUAAACAGGAUUAAUUCACCAUAUGAAAAAGCAUUAACGCCGUCCUAACAAAUGCAGAAAUCAUAAGAGAAAGCGGUUUUAACAGGACGCACAAUAUUACUAGUUUGAACGUAUGAUCGUAAAAAUGAAAAGCCAUUGAUAUAAGCUUAAAAGCCGCCGUAUAUGCUGAUUGCUCAAGCAUUAAUGAAGAAUGCCCCAGAUUAACUAUUUGCUCUUCGAGGGAUGCAGCGAUAUAACUACCUAUUAGCACCAUUAGAUGCUUUGCUAUUUAUUUGAAAACACCCCUACGAGUGGGUUGAGACAGAACAGAUGAAUGUAAAAAUGAACUGCAGCUAAUUUCGCUAAAUAAUCCUCGAAACCUGAGCGCCUCGCAAGGAAGGGGGAGAUUCUCCUCUGUCCUUCUCCGAGGCUAAUGACAAUAGAAAUGCUCUGGUUUAAAAGUGAGACUGUGUUGGUUUUCCAAAUAAGCAAACGCAUCCCUCCUGCCAUUUUACUGCAGAUGUAAAUUUAUUUUAAUGAGAGGGAGUGGAAGGAUUUAUUUUGCUAAAAUAGAGUAGAGGAUAGAGCCGAUGUAAAUCUUUAGGUUUCAAAAAGAGAGGAGGAAGGAGGGGGAAGCUGCUUUCCUGGCAGAAAGCUGCCUAACAGUCCUCUAAUUCUUUCUAGAUUAAAUCGCAAUAUGAAUACAGCAUCGAACAAAUACCGAGUUUCGCUCUGAACUCAGUGGAAAGCAGUUACGUCUAACAGAAUUCAAUGAAUUCCUCUUCUCCCUCAAUGUAGUAUGUGUGUGUUUUUCUCUUCCACCACACUGAAGUUCCAUGAAUAGGGAAAGUGGCUCCUAUUGUGUGCCUCUGAACUUCCAAGUCAAUGCAAUUUUUAACCACUGGCUUGUGGUACUUUGAAAAUCACCAGGGGCUGUCAGAGUUGGGUCCUCUGAAAAAUUUACAGUGCUAAAUCAGAGCAUAUGCUGUGAGAGAGGAAAAAAAAUUGCUUAAGAUUGGAGCAAGUACAGUAUCUGGCUGCCCCCUAGUGUAAGUCUCUUAUCUGCCUAAAAUUCAACUUUAAAAGAAAAGGAUCUCUUAAAGGGAAACGACUUUUGGCUCACGUAUGCAUACGAGAAUGAAACUUCUGUACAUUUUAAUCUGAUUAAUUCCUAAGGAUUUAAAAUUAAUUGGCUUGGGCACUCCUAGACCGGACUAUAAGAUUUCUGCAUCAGGGUUUCUGCGAGAACUGUACCGAAUAGGAACCGUGCCUCUCUUGCUGUUGUCAGAGCAAAACACUUUUGCUGCUUAAAGUCAGAUCUACGUCUUUUGCAAUAAUAUUUAAAAAAAAAAAAGGAUAAAUAAUUGCCUUAAAGCCUCAGCCGAUCUACCAACCGCACCUUCGGAUGUCAGAAGGCAGAAAUAUGUGAGCUGCUGAGAGAGGUGGGUACUUUUUGGUAAGUAUGUUUAGAUAUGAUCUUCAGAUACAUUUAUUGUACUUUCAAAUUCUUGGGAUACUAAUUGAGCUAGCAAACAAUAUCCCAGCUGAAUGUCUCAGCUUCUUCCCUAUUUAACAAGCUUUAAUACAGAAGUAUAUUGUAGCCAUCCUUCUACUAAACAAUAUAGCUGAGGAGUCAGCAAAAAAUGAAAAAAACAUGUUAAAACCAAAUUAUAAUUGCUGCCUUAUAUCUGACUCUUCUGCCUUUCUGCAGUCCUAAUGAACUCUUUAAAGUUUUAUUUAUUUAUUUUUUUUAUUUCUGAGUGACAGAUCAAAAAUAAUUAGCAGAAUCAGAAGCAGCCGGGAAGCUUGAAAUAAUGUGUCUAAAUAUUUCAUAUUGCUACUUAUAAUACCAACCCAUCAGCUGUAAAAAAGAACCGUUCCCUGUUUAUUCCGUGGUAGUUUAUAAAUACAGAAAGAUAGAUUCUUUUUUUUCCCAGGGCCUGCUUCAGCAAUGCCAUAAAUAGAGAUUGAGCUAUCAGGAAAAAAACCAAACCAGAAUAAAAUAAAAACAAAAGCCUGUACAGAUAUAGAGACAGACAGAUAAAUGUAUAACUGCAUCUGAACGGUGUUACAUAGCACGUUAGGAGAUGGGCAAAAAAAAUUAAAUCGAUCGCAUAUUUAUAACCUCAUAAUUAAAAUACAGUCUUAUCUCUCUCCCCUGAAAGGUUGCAGCUUUCUUGGAAGUAUUUUGAGUGCAUAUUUUAAACUCCAUGUCCCGAACGGAAUUAAGAUGAGCUGUUUUGCCCAAGAGUGAAACCCUUGUUUACAAUUUAAGGUUUAAGUUUCAGCUGCCUACUCAUCGC